CUACUCAUGGACUGAACAGACUGCAAAUCCAAAUGUUAAUAUUUCCAAUAUUGCUAAUAGACCUCAGCAAGACAUAAGGCAUGUAAAUAUUUUUUAUUUUGACCAUGGUUUAAUUAUUAUGAUUUAUCAUUUCAUCCUUUAAUGUUGCUAAUUAUCUAAAUGAAAUGUCUGUUCAAAUGAACCUUAUGAAAAAAUUUUGUAGUUGAGUAAACACUUAGCAAGUCAGAAUUGAAUAUGCUUCCCAGUGAACUGUAGCUGAUUGUAAGGUGUGGUUUUGUCACAUUUAAAAGUUGAUUUCCUUUUGGCCCCAGAAACAAUGGCUGUAAUUUAAAAUAAUAGUCACAAAAUUUUAUAAAUUUUUGUGAAUACAAAAGAGGCUUGAUAGAGCCAUAUUGUAAUUAAUUUUGCUCAGGAGUGCGAAACAAAAUUCAGGGAUGAACCAAUGCUUCUGUUUGGCUUUAGUGCAUGAUUGGGAAAAU
This 479-nucleotide long non-coding RNA is filed under the name Bos taurus (domestic cattle). RNAcentral's name for it is "long non-coding RNA NONBTAT018202". The record is from RNAcentral. Lineage: Eukaryota; Metazoa; Chordata; Mammalia; Artiodactyla; Bovidae.